RNAcentral lists this transfer RNA (73 nucleotides) under Aspergillus japonicus CBS 114.51. RNAcentral's name for it is "tRNA-Lys". It matches the Rfam family "tRNA". From Rfam's summary of the family: Transfer RNA (tRNA) molecules are approximately 80 nucleotides in length. Their secondary structure includes four short double-helical elements and three loops (D, anti-codon, and T loops). The record is from RNAcentral. RNAcentral also lists the same sequence under 4 other names. Lineage: Eukaryota; Fungi; Ascomycota; Eurotiomycetes; Eurotiales; Aspergillaceae.
GCCCGGUUAGCUCAAUGGCUAGAGCGUCCGACUUUUAAUCGGAAGGUUGCGAGUUCGACCCUCGCAUCGGGCG